Molecule: ribosomal RNA, 292 nt
Filed under: uncultured bacterium
Lineage: Bacteria
Description: partial 16S ribosomal RNA
Source: RNAcentral
GGACUACCCGGGUAUCUAAUCCUGUUUGCUCCCCACGCUUUCGUGCCUCAGCGUCAGGUGUGGACCAAGAAGCUGCCUUCGCCAUUGGUGUUCCUCUCGAGAUCUACGCAUUUUACCGCUACUCCGAGAAUUCCACUUCUCUCUUCCACCCUCUAGCACAUCAGUAUCUACCGCAGACCCUCGGUUAGGCCGAGGAAUUUAACAGUUGACUUAAUAUGCCGCCUACGCACCCUUUACGCCCAAUAAUUCCGAAUAACGCUUGCACCACUCGUAUUACCGCGGCGGCUGGCAC